This 1239-nucleotide ribosomal RNA is filed under the name metagenome. RNAcentral describes it as "bacterial LSU rRNA". It matches the Rfam family "Bacterial large subunit ribosomal RNA", at positions 1564 to 2813 of the family's 2925-position model. The record is from RNAcentral.
UGACGACGAGAUGCUACGGCAUCGAAGCAGUCUAUGUCAUACUUCCAAGAAAAGCUUGCACUGUCAUAAACAAAUAAUGCCUGUACCAUAACCGACACAGGUGGGUAGGUAGAGUAUACUAAGGGGCGCGAGAUAACUCUCUCUAAGGAACUCGGCAAAAUGACUCCGUAACUUCGGGAGAAGGAGUGCCUUAUUUAUAAGGUUGCAAUAACAAGAUCCAAGCAACUGUUUAUCAAAAACACAGGUCUCCGCUAAGUCGUAAGACGAUGUAUGGGGGCUGACGCCUGCCCAGUGCCAGAAGGUUAAAGAAGUUGGUUAGUGUAUGCGAAGCUGAUGACUGAAGCCCUGGUGAACGGCGGCCGUAACAAUAACGGUCCUAAGGUAGCGAAAUUCCUUGUCGGGUAAGUUCCGACCCGCACGAAAGGCGUAAUGAUUUGGAUACUGUCUCGGAGAGAGGCUCGGUGAAAUAGACUUGUCUGUGAAGAUGCGGACUGCCUGCACCAGGACAGAAAGACCCUAUGAAGCUUUACUGUAACUUGAAAUUGGAAUUGGACUUUGCUUGCGCAGUAUAGGUGGGAAGCGUUGAAGAUAUUCUUGCGGGAGUAUUGGAGCUAUCAGUGAGAUACCACUCUUGUAAUGUUAGAUUUCUAACUUUGAACCAUAAUCUGGUCAAAGAACAGUUUCAGGUGGGCAGUUUGACUGGGGCGGUCGCCUCCCAAAUGGUAACGGAGGCGUACAAAGGUUUCCUCUGAACGGAUAGAAAUCGUAUCUAGAGUGUAAAGGCAUAAGGAAGCUUGACUGUGAGACCUACAAGUCGAGCAGGGACGAAAGUCGGUCUUAGUGAUCUGACGGUACUGAGUGGAAAGGCCGUCACUCAACGGAUAAAAGUUACUCUAGGAUAACAGGCUGAUCUCCCCCAAGAGUUCACAUCGACGGGGAGGUUUGGCACCUCGAUGUCGGCUCAUCGCAUCCUGGGGCGGUAGUACGUCCCAAGGGUUGGGCUGUUCGCCCAUGAAAGCGGUACGCGAGCUGGGUUCAGAACGUCGUGAGACAGUUCGGUCCAUAUCCGGUGUAGGCGUUAGAAUAUUGAGAGGAGCCUUCUUUAGUACGAGAGGACCGAGAAGGACACACCGCUGGUGUACCAGUUAUCGUGCCAACGGUAAACGCUGGGUAGCUAUGUGUGGAGUGGAUAACCGCUGAAAGCAUCUAAGUGGGAAGCCCACCUCAAGAUGAGUAUUC